RNAcentral lists this ribosomal RNA (398 nucleotides) under Streptomyces sp. CACIA-1.9HGO. RNAcentral describes it as "bacterial SSU rRNA". It matches the Rfam family "Bacterial small subunit ribosomal RNA", at positions 243 to 649 of the family's 1533-position model. The record is from RNAcentral. Lineage: Bacteria; Bacillati; Actinomycetota; Actinomycetes; Kitasatosporales; Streptomycetaceae.
AGCUGUUGGUGAGGUAGUGGCCACCAGGCGACGACGGGUAGCCGGCCGAGAGGGCGACCGGCCACACUGGGACUGAGACACGGCCCAACUCCUACGGGAGGCAGCAGUGGGGAAUAUUUGCACAAUGGGCGAAAGCCUGAUGCAGCGACGCCGCGUGAGGGAUGACGGCCUUCGGGUUUGUAAACCUCUUUCAGCAGGGAAGAAGCGAAAGUUGACGGUACCUGCAGAAGAAGCGCCGGCUAACUACGUGCCAGCAGCCGCGGUAAUACGUAGGGCGCAAGCGUUGUCCGGAAUUAUUUGGCGUAAAGAGCUCGUAGGCGGCCUGUCGCCGUUCGGUUUUGUAAAAGCCCGGGGCUUAACCCCCGGGUUCUGCAGUCGAUACGGGCAGGCUAGAGUGU